This 356-nucleotide ribosomal RNA is filed under the name uncultured bacterium. RNAcentral's name for it is "bacterial SSU rRNA". It matches the Rfam family "Bacterial small subunit ribosomal RNA", at positions 276 to 641 of the family's 1533-position model. The record is from RNAcentral.
AUGAUGUAUGGGUGAUUCGGCCACAUCUAUUGGACUAAAUACACGGCCCAUACUCCUACGGGAGGCAUCAUUAAGGAAUCUUCCCCAAUAGACAAAAGUCUGACGGAGCAACGCCCCUUGAGUGAUGAAGGUUUUCAGAUCAUAAAGCUCUGUUGUUAAGGAAGAACAAUUACCGUUCGAAUAGGGCGGUACCUUGACGGUACCUAACCAAAAAGCCACGGCUAACUACGUGCCACCAACCGCGGUAAUACUUAGGUGGCAAGCGUUGUCCGGAUUAUUGGGCGUAAAGGGCUCGCAGCGGUUUUUAAAUCAAUGUGAAACCCCGGCUCUCCGGGGAGGUCUUGGAAAUGGGGAAU